GACGAACGCUGGCGGCGUGCUUAACACAUGCAAGUCGAACGGAAAGGCCCUGCUUUUGUGGGGUGCUCGAGUGGCGAACGGGUGAGUAACACGUGAGUAACCUGCCCCUGACUUUGGGAUAACUUCAGGAAACUGGGGCUAAUACCGGAUAGGAGCUCUUGCUGCAUGGUGGGGGUUGGAAAGUUUCGGCGGUUGGGGAUGGACUCGCGGCUUAUCAGCUUGUUGGUGGGGUAGUGGCUUACCAAGGCUUUGACGGGUAGCCGGCCUGAGAGGGUGACCGGCCACAUUGGGACUGAGAUACGGCCCAGACUCCUACGGGCGGCCACAGUGGGGAAUCUUGCACCAUGGGCGGAAGCCUGAUGCAGCAACGCCGCGUGCGGGAUAACGGCCUUCGGGUUGUAAACCGCUUUCGCCUGUGACGAAGCGUGAGUGACGGUAAUGGGUAAAGAAGCACCGGCUAACUACGUG
RNAcentral lists this ribosomal RNA (468 nucleotides) under uncultured bacterium. RNAcentral's name for it is "partial 16S ribosomal RNA". It matches the Rfam family "Bacterial small subunit ribosomal RNA", at positions 28 to 507 of the family's 1533-position model. The record is from RNAcentral.